RNAcentral lists this ribosomal RNA (201 nucleotides) under uncultured Brachyspira sp. RNAcentral's name for it is "partial 16S ribosomal RNA". It matches the Rfam family "Bacterial small subunit ribosomal RNA", at positions 49 to 250 of the family's 1533-position model. The record is from RNAcentral. Lineage: Bacteria; Pseudomonadati; Spirochaetota; Spirochaetia; Brachyspirales; Brachyspiraceae.
UUAAGCAUGCAAGUCGAGCGGGCUUAUUCGGGCAACUGGAUAAGUUAGCGGCGAACUGGUGAGUAACACGUAGGUAAUCUGCCGUGAAGUGGGGGAUAACCCAUGGAAACAUGGACUAAUACCGCAUAUACUCUUGCUACAUAAGUAGAGUAGAGGAAAGUUUUUUCGCUUCACGAUGAGCCUGCGGCCUAUUAGCCUGUU